UACGAAGGGGGCUAGCGUUGCUCGGAAUCACUGGGCGUAAAGGGUGCGUAGGCGGGUCUUUAAGUCAGGGGUGAAAUCCUGGAGCUCAACUCCAGAACUGCCUUUGAUACUGAAGAUCUUGAGUUCGGGAGAGGUGAGUGGAACUGCGAGUAUAGAGGUGAAAUUCGUAGAUAUUCGCAAGAACACCAGUGGCGAAGGCGGCUCACUGGCCCGAUACUGACGCUGAGGCACGAAAGCGUGGGGAGCAAACAGG
Molecule: ribosomal RNA, 253 nt
Filed under: uncultured bacterium
Lineage: Bacteria
Description: partial 16S ribosomal RNA
Rfam family: Bacterial small subunit ribosomal RNA
Source: RNAcentral